GUCCCCCUGCGGUGUUCGUUUAGGCUAAAUAUUCUUUGAACCAAUAUUUAUGUAAGCAGGUUGUGGCUGUAUUGAGUGCUGUUGUGCGCGUCCUUCACGGAUGUACCUGAUGUGCUCAAGCUGCAACCGUCUUGGACCCUCGCGUUCAAGAUGAUAGCCUGACGGCACAUGCGGGGGGCCU
This 181-nucleotide non-coding RNA is filed under the name Sulfurimicrobium sp. RNAcentral describes it as "6S RNA". It matches the Rfam family "6S / SsrS RNA". From Rfam's summary of the family: E. coli 6S RNA was the first non coding RNA to be sequenced, but its function was unknown until recently. The record is from RNAcentral. Lineage: Bacteria; Pseudomonadati; Pseudomonadota; Betaproteobacteria; Nitrosomonadales; Sulfuricellaceae.